GGGGGGAGUGCCGGAUUUUGGGCUGUGUCCCCCAGCGCCCUGUGCUCCAGGGCCUGUGCUGCUGGAAUUGCACUCCCGGCCGCGCAGCCCCCU
Molecule: microRNA precursor, 93 nt
Filed under: Canis lupus familiaris (dog)
Lineage: Eukaryota; Metazoa; Chordata; Mammalia; Carnivora; Canidae
Also listed under: 1 other name
Description: mir-8799 microRNA precursor family
Rfam family: mir-8799 microRNA precursor family
Source: Rfam by way of RNAcentral